UGGCGGGUGCCUACACAUGCAAGUCGAACGCUCUCUUGCGCAAGCGAGAGGGAGUGGCGGACGGGUGAGCAACACGUGGGUGACCUGCCCUAAGGUGAGGAAUACCGGCGAGAAAUCGCCGACAAAACCGCAUGGGCUCUGCUCUGCACAAGAGGAGAGCAAAGCUUCCGUCUGGGAGGCGCCUUGGGAGGGGCCUGCGUCCGAUUAGUUAGUUGGUGGGGUAAUGGCUCACCAAGACGAUGAUCGGUAGCUGGUCUGAGAGGAUGAUCAGCCACACUGGGAUUGAGAACGGCCCAGACUCCUACGGGGGGCAGCAGUGAGGAAUUUUCGUCAAUGGGAGCAAUCCUGAACGAGCAACGCCGCGUGCCGGAGGACGCUCUUCGGAGUGUAAACGGCUUUUCUGCGCGACGAGGAGUCGGACGGUAGCGCAGGAAGAAGCCCCGGCUAACUACGUGCCAGCAGCCGCGGUAAUACGUAGGGGGCAAGCGUUGUCCGGAGUUACUGGGCGUAAAGCGCUCGCAGGCGGUCUGUCGCGUUCGUCGGGACAGGGCUCGGCUCAACUGAGCCAGGCUGGCGAAAACGGGCA
This 586-nucleotide ribosomal RNA is filed under the name uncultured bacterium. RNAcentral's name for it is "bacterial SSU rRNA". It matches the Rfam family "Bacterial small subunit ribosomal RNA", at positions 37 to 638 of the family's 1533-position model. The record is from RNAcentral.